RNAcentral lists this ribosomal RNA (492 nucleotides) under uncultured bacterium. RNAcentral describes it as "partial 16S ribosomal RNA". It matches the Rfam family "Bacterial small subunit ribosomal RNA", at positions 29 to 507 of the family's 1533-position model. The record is from RNAcentral.
AGUGAACGCUGGCGGUAGGCCUAACACAUGCAAGUCGAACGGCAGCACAGUAAGAGCUUGCUCUUACGGGUGGCGCGUGGCGGACGGGUGAGGAAUACAUCGGAAUCUACUUUUUCGUGGGGGAAAACGUAGGGAAACUUACGCUAAUACCGCAUACGACCUACGGGUGAAAGCAGGGGAUCUUCGGACCUUGCGCGAUUGAAUGAGCAGAUGUCGGAUUAGCUAGUUGGCGGGGUAAAGGCCCACCAAGGCGACGAUCCGUAGCUGGUCUGAGAGGAUGAUCAGCCACACUGGAACUGAGACACGGUCCAGACUCCUACGGGAGGCAGCAGUGGGGAAUAUUGGACAAAGGGCGCAAGCCUGAUCCAGCCAUACCGCGUGGGUGAAGAAGGCCUUCGGGUUUUAAAGCCCUUUUGUUGGGAAAGAAAAGCAGCAGGUUAAUACCCCGCUGUUCUGACGGUACCCAAAGAAUAAGCACCGGCUAACUUCGUG